This 944-nucleotide ribosomal RNA is filed under the name uncultured archaeon. Its description in RNAcentral is "bacterial SSU rRNA". It matches the Rfam family "Archaeal small subunit ribosomal RNA", at positions 1 to 922 of the family's 1478-position model. The record is from RNAcentral.
UUUCCCGGUUGAUCCUGCCGGACCUUACUGCUAUCGGGAUGAGACUAAGCCAUGCAUGUCGAGCGCUCUCAGCUAUGUAGAGAGCGCGGCGAACGGCUCAAUAACACGUAGUUAACCUACCCUCGGGAUGGGAAUAACCCCGGGAAACUGGGAUUAAUGCCCACUAGAUGAUUAUACCUGGAAUGGCUUAUCAUCGAAAGAGUCUGGAAACAUGCUUCCAGCGUCGCCCGAGGAUGGGACCGCGUCCGAUCAGGUAGUUGGUGGGGUAAUGGCCUACCAAGCCUAUAACCGGUACGGGCCCUGAGAGGGGGAGCCCGGAGAUGGAAACUGAGAAAAGGUUCCAGGCCCUACGGGGUGCAGCAGGCGCGAAACCUCCACAAUGCGCGAAAGCGUGAUGGGGUUAUCCCGAGUGCCGUCCGAUGAGGAUGGCUUUUAAUCGAUGUAAGGAUUCGAUAGAAUAAAGGGGGGGCAAGACUGGUGUCAGCCGCCGCGGUAAUACCAGCCCCCUGAGUGGUAAGGACGAUUAUUUGGCCUAAAGCGUUCGUAGCCGGCUUAUCAAGUCUUUUGUUAAAUCCAACGAUUCAAUCGUUGGGCCGCAAAAGAUACUGUUAUGCUAGAGGACGGGAGAGGUCGACGGUAGUCCAGGGGUAGGGGUGAAAUCCUAUAAUCCUUGGAGGACCACCAGUGGCGAAGGCGGUCGACUAGAACGUGCCUGACGGUGAGGGACGAAAGCUGGGGGAGCGAACCGGAUUAGAUACCCGGGUAGUCCCAGCUGUAAACGAUGCGGGCUAGGUGUUGGGGCAGCCACGAGCUGCUCCAGUGCCGCAGAGAAGUUGUUAAGCCCGCCGCCUGGGGAGUACGGCCGCAAGGCUGAAACUUAAAGGAAUUGGCGGGGGAGCACCACAAGGGGUGAAGGCUGCGGUUUAAUUGGAGUCAACGCCGGG